RNAcentral lists this ribosomal RNA (497 nucleotides) under uncultured bacterium. RNAcentral describes it as "partial 16S ribosomal RNA". It matches the Rfam family "Bacterial small subunit ribosomal RNA", at positions 28 to 507 of the family's 1533-position model. The record is from RNAcentral.
GAUGAACGCUGGCGGCGUGCCUAAUACAUGCAAGUCGAGCGAACAGACGAGGAGCUUGCUCCUCUGACGUUAGCGGCGGACGGGUGAGUAACACGUGGAUAACCUACCUAUAAGACUGGGAUAACUUCGGGAAACCGGAGCUAAUACCGGGUAAUAUAUUGAGCCGCAUGGUUCAAUAGUGAAAGACGGUUUUGCUGUCACUUAUAGAUGGAUCCGCGCCGCAUUAGCUAGUUGGUAAGGUAACGGCUUACCAAGGCGACGAUGCGUAGCCGACCUGAGAGGGUGAUCGGCCACACUGGAACUGAGACACGGUCCAGACUCCUACGGGAGGCAGCAGUAGGGAAUCUUCCGCAAUGGGCGAAAGCCUGACGGAGCAACGCCGCGUGAGUGAUGAAGGUCUUCGGAUCGUAAAACUCUGUUAUUAGGGAAGAACAAAUGUGUAAGUAACUAUGCACGUCUUGACGGUACCUAAUCAGAAAGCCACGGCUAACUACGUG